This 1863-nucleotide long non-coding RNA is filed under the name Homo sapiens (human). RNAcentral's name for it is "HSALNT0294980". Lineage: Eukaryota; Metazoa; Chordata; Mammalia; Primates; Hominidae. The record is from RNAcentral.
GCUCUGAGCAGGCCGACAGUCAUAGACGAGUAGACCUUAGGCGAGGGAAGGCAUGUACUUUCCCUAAGAAGCGGGAGGAGAGAAAUAAAUAGAGGGCAGUGGGAUGAGAAGAACCUCGCGGGAUGGGAAGCCGCGGAGGGAAGGGCCGUCUUUGGUUACCUGGAGAGCGGGAGCAGCUGCGGAUCCCUUAUGAAGUGCCCGGAUGAAGCUCCAGCGCUCACGCGCUUUCCGCAUUGAGUGCAGCGCCAUCUUGAGAAGGGCGGAGCCGUCUUGUUUGGAAUGACGUCUGUUCAGAGAGCCAAUCCCAGUCUCGCGACUCCUGCUUGCUGGGCGCGGCUUGGGCCUCCAGGCUGCGCAGCGCAGCCGCUAUCGGGCGGACUGCAGUUCUUGCCGAGCAGCUACUGAAAAUUACCAAGGAGAGGUAGGAGAUAAGAGAUGCCUAUAAAGGAGCUGAAAUCUACCAGGUCGCAAUGAUUUGUAUGACAGCUGCUAGCCCAAGAGAGAGUUCCAGAAGAGGGCUACCUAACAGGUGCUGUGGCAUUUAGAAGAGGAAUGGAGCCAUUGUCAACGCACAGCUUGCAGGGGAGCAGGAGAGUCAGUCUAAGAAGGAAAUGUGAUGAUGGAAACAGAGGUUGGAAGAUGGAAGAGGACCCAGAGUCAAGGAAUGCAGGUAGAAAAGAAAAGCCUGGAUUCUCCCCUAAAGCCUCCAGAUGGAACACAGCCCUGCCUCCACCUUGAUUUCAGGACUUCUUACCCCAAGAAUCAUUCAGCUAAUACAGCUCCCGAAAGCCUGCCCUUCAUCUAAGUCCACAUGCGACAUUGAAACACUCAAAGGCAGCCUGGCAGCAGCAAGAAGAAAAACAUUCAAACCAAGUUAGAUUUCCUGGCAUCAUGUUGUUUGUUCUUAACCUGAAGAUACAUUUGGGGACCCCUAGUCUGGUGACACUGAAUUAGAGUCAGUCAAACACUUUCUUGAUGACCAUGGAAUACUGUGAGCUACAAGAGACUCUCCCAUCCUCAUCUAUGGUUACAGUAUUCAGCUUCUGAUGGGGUUGCUUCUGAAAAGACCCCGGUGAGGUGUUUUUCAGCCCUAGCUAUACAUUGGAAUCAACUGGCAAACUUUGAAAAAAUCACAAAGCCUAUGCCACAACCCAGAGGUUCUGAGGUGCAGCCAGAGUAUAGAACCUGUAAUCUAGGUAAUGGCUCUCACUGGAAAACAGCUGUGGCACUGGUAUAGGAGCAAUGAGGGGCUCACGCAGAACUCCCUGUGUGGGCUCACCUGGCCUUCCAAAGGCCCAGCCUGACCACUUGGGACCAAAGUGACCCUUACUAUUAAAGGCUUCUAACAUUCACAGAAAGAAAGUACGUCAAGGGUGUGUGAAAUCAUGACAGAAGCUCCUCCUCCUAGGAACUAUCACAGGAAAUUACCCUUUAUACCUAAGAAUAAAGACCGAAUAGAGAGAAGCCAGCUCUAUCCACAACCAACAGAUGGCGCUAUUGUCCAAUGCCCUGCCAUUUAGGUCUCUGCCAACCACUUACUCCUUAAUACUUGGUAAUUUGCUGCAUUUGUGCAUGAUUUUGAAAUGUUCUAGAAACAUUUUUGACUCCACAUAUCUGAGAAGUGCAAAAGUAGCAAUAAUAUUAAAAGUGUUACUUAAAAAAGGAGCAUAAUUAUGACAAAAUGAAAGUAGAACCAUUUUUAAAAUCAGAAGGCAGUGAGAAAAUAAAAUGUAAGUUUGUACAUGCAUGUGGAAUUAAUUUUUAGACAGUAGGAACAAUUCCAAAGGGCAGAGUUGAUCAUGAAUCCUGAGAAAAGUGUUGUGCCUCUGCAACUGACAAUAAAGAGCAAGAGAUACGGAAAUG